RNAcentral lists this ribosomal RNA (512 nucleotides) under uncultured bacterium. RNAcentral describes it as "bacterial SSU rRNA". It matches the Rfam family "Bacterial small subunit ribosomal RNA", at positions 27 to 521 of the family's 1533-position model. The record is from RNAcentral.
GGAUGAACGCUGGCGGCGUGCCUAAUACAUGCAAGUCGAGCGAACAGAUAAGGAGCUUGCUCCUUUGACGUUAGCGGCGGACGGGUGAGUAACACGUGGGUAACCUACCUAUAAGACUGGAAUAACUCCGGGAAACCGGGGCUAAUGCCGGAUAAUAUUUAGAACCGCAUGGUUCUAAAGUGAAAGAUGGUUUUACUAUCACUUAUAGAUGGACCCGCGCCGUAUUAGCUAGUUGGUGGGGUAAUGGCUUACCAAGGCAACGAUACGUAGCCGACCUGAGAGGGUGAUCGGCCACACUGGAACUGAGACACGGUCCAGACUCCUACGGGAGGCAGCAGUAGGGAAUCUUCCGCAAUGGGCGAAAGCCUGACGGAGCAACGCCGCGUGAGUGAUGAAGGUCUUCGGAUCGUAAAACUCUGUUAUUAGGGAAGAACAAAUGUGUAAGUAACUGUGCACGUCUUGACGGUACCUAAUCGGAAAGCCACGGCUAACUACGUGCCAGCAGCCGCGGU